UUUAUUUACUUUUCUCUGUAUUUUUAUUUUGAUGAAAAAGCUUUUGAAGUUAAAGUAAAUUUUUAAUUUAACCUUUAGAAAAAAUAAAUCUUUAGAAAGUGUUUAGUAUUAUACAGUUUCAUAUUAAAUUAAACGUUGUUAAUAGUAAACAUAAUUUUAGAUUUUGAGUUGAAAGUUUUUUAUAUUGCUAAAUAUGUAUUUUAAAUCUAAUAGAACGGCAAUUGCAAUUUUUAAAAUUGAAAUUGCAUUGUAAAUAUACCCUAACAUCGAAAUUGACAAAUGUUUUAUUUUUAUUGUUCAUCAUAGUUAAAGUAGACUAUAGUACAUAGUACUUGGAAAAAUGGAAUACAUUGGGACCAGGAUGAGUUGAA
Molecule: unclassified non-coding RNA, 371 nt
Filed under: Borreliella afzelii
Lineage: Bacteria; Pseudomonadati; Spirochaetota; Spirochaetia; Spirochaetales; Borreliaceae
Description: partial 16S-23S ribosomal RNA intergenic spacer
Source: RNAcentral